UUAAAGUUUUAUUCUUGCUUAAAUAUUUAUUUUUUCUUUGUGUUACAUGCAAGUUUAGUAAGACUAAAUGUUCUUUUUGCAGUAAUUUUAUUUAAUUAUCAAAUGAUUUUGGAAUUAGCAAUUGAUUUAGUAUAGGCAUAAUUCGUGCCAGCAGCCGCGGUUAUACGAUUGGAUGCAAGUAAAUAAUUUUGGUUAAAAUAGUUAUUUAUAAUAUUGGAGUUUAACUAUUAAUUUAUGAGGUGAAAUUUUAUUUUUUUUUAUGACUCUAUUUAUGAAUCUAUGAAACUUAGUCAAUAAACUAGGAUUAGAUACCCUAUUAUAUUAAGUGUUAAUUUUGCUUACCAGGGUAGUAUUAGUUAGGUUCUUUAAACCCAAAGAAUUUGGCGGUAUCUUAUUCCAUUCAGAGGAACCUACCCCUUGAUUGAUAGUACACGAUUUACUUUACUUAAUUUAUUUGUUUGUAUAUCUCCGUUAUCAGAAAAUCUUUUUAGAGUUUAAAUUUUCUUAAUUUAUAAUUAUAAAUUAUUUCAGGUCAAGGUGCAGCUUAUAAUUAAGAGGAGGUGGGUUACAAUAAAUUUUUAUUUAUUAUGAAUUUAUUAAUGAAAUAUUAAUAUUGAAGGUGGAUUUGAUAGUAAUUUAAUUUAUUUAAUUUAAUUGAUAUUGGCUCUAGGAUGUGCACACAUCGCCCGUCGCUCUCAUCUUUGAGUUUAAUAAUAUUUUAAUUUAAUUUUCUAUUUAGAUGAGAUAAGUCGUAACAUAGUAGAUGUACUGGAAAGUGUAUCUAGUAAGUAUUUAU
RNAcentral lists this non-coding RNA (796 nucleotides) under Leptacris sp. OR304. Its description in RNAcentral is "12S ribosomal RNA". The stretch from base 345 to 784 matches the Rfam family "Microsporidia small subunit ribosomal RNA", at positions 752 to 1303 of the family's 1311-position model. Lineage: Eukaryota; Metazoa; Arthropoda; Insecta; Orthoptera; Acrididae. The record is from RNAcentral.